RNAcentral lists this long non-coding RNA (706 nucleotides) under Mytilus galloprovincialis (Mediterranean mussel). The record is from RNAcentral. Lineage: Eukaryota; Metazoa; Mollusca; Bivalvia; Mytilida; Mytilidae.
AUUUAUUUGGAUGGUUGCCAUGGAAAACUCGAAUGUUCGGAUGUUUUUCUUUCUCUAUCCUAUUCAACAGUUUGUCUCGGUUAUAUCUCAUUGCAACUAUGGAGUUAACUUUUUUAUUUAUAUUUUAUCAGGUCGGUCUUUCCGGUUUGAACUAAGACGUGUAUUUUGGAUAGAAAGACGUUCAACCAUAUCGACCACAAAAACAAGGGAGGAAAUUAUGCGUCUUCAGUGAGAUUGUAAAUGAGAGAGGAAAUUAUGCGUCUACAGUGAGAUUGUAAACAAAGGGGUAAAUUAUGCGUCUACAUUGAGAUUAAGAACGAGGGGGGAAAUUAUGCGUUUACAGUGAGAUUGUGUUAAACCAGAGAGGAAAUUAUGCGUUUACAGUAAGAUUGUGUUAAUUUAUUAAAAUAUGCAAACAUGUAUGUUUGAUAUGAACUCAUUAAAAAUGGAAAUAACCCGCGUAUUAAGCGCUUUUUCUGGAUUUACCUUCAACUUAAACGUCCAAAGCCGAAUAUUUGAAAGAUUAAUUACUACAUAUGUAUAAGAACCGAAAUAUGGUUGAGCUAUAUGCCCAAGAAGGACCUAAAUUACUAGCCAAAUCUAUCUAACUGGAUGUCAAAUUUGCUUGAAAGAUGUGAAACCUUGAUUUCUUAAAACUAACGGACAUUUUGUGAGCUUAAAUAAAUUGACGGGACAUAAAUACGGG